This 253-nucleotide ribosomal RNA is filed under the name uncultured bacterium. RNAcentral describes it as "partial 16S ribosomal RNA". It matches the Rfam family "Bacterial small subunit ribosomal RNA", at positions 524 to 776 of the family's 1533-position model. The record is from RNAcentral.
GACGAACCGUGCAAACGUUAUUCGGAAUCACUGGGCAUAAAGGGCGCGUAGGCGGCUCCAAAAGUCAGGGGUGAAAUCCCGCGGCUCAACCGUGGAAGUGCCUCUGAUACUGUAAGUCUCGAGGGAGGUAGGGGCGUGCGGAACUUCCGGUGGAGCGGUGAAAUGCGCAGAUAUCAGGAGGAACACCAAUGGCGAAGGCAGCUCGCUGGGACGGUACUGACGCUGAGGCGCGAAAGCGUGGGGAGCAAACAGG